CGGCCGGGCGGUGCGCGGCGGCGGUGGCGGCGGGGAAGAUGGCGGCGUCCUCCCUGGAGCAGAAGCUGUCCCGCCUGGAAGCAAAGCUGAAGCAGGAGAACCGGGAGGCCCGGCGGAGGAUCGACCUCAACCUGGAUAUCAGCCCCCAGCGGCCCAGGCCCAGGACUGUCUGGCGCCCCCCUCCCCCGGCCUGGGGGCUUGUCAGCCCCGUGCAGCGACGAUCUACGCACACGCGCACGCCUGGCUCGGGGACACCUGAGUUAUUGUGAUCACUCUAAGCCCUGCUCCUGCCCCGUCCCAACGAGCAGGUACCAGCCUUUUUAUCAUCGCUGCUUGGACAUCUGCACCAUUGACCUAACCGCUGCCCCGGCCGCAGAAUGGCAUCCCCCAGCCCCCAUGCUCUGUGUGUGUCCCCAUGUCCCUUCCCCUCACUCUCACUUUCUCUCUCACUCCACUCAAGCAGCGGUCAGCCCAGCCCAGUCUCUUCUUUGUCCUCCCUCCUCCUCUCGCUCCCUUCUUCCCGGCUCCACUUUGGACUCCCUGGAGGAGGAGGUGGGCUCCUCACUGAAUGGCCUUCGGUGGGGGGGUGCACGCCUGUGUGUGUGUAACUGAGAGAACGAGAAAGUUGGGCCUGGUGGGUGACCUGUGCCUAUGGAUCCCUCUCAACAACUAGGUGAACACAUAGCACCCCCCGGGUUCCAUACCAGCCAUGGGCGCCAGGGACACAGCAGUGAAUAGAACAGACGGAGCCCCUCUCCUCUGUAGCGGGGGCUGCAGUAGGGGGGCCCACUGGACAAGGAGCACAUUCCCACCAGAGAGAACAUUCUAGCUGGGUGAGCGGCGCUGCAGGAGGCCAGCCUGGGGGAACCUCUGGAGACGGUGGGAAUUGAACAAAGCCUCUGGGAGGCCAGGCAUGGUGGCUCAUACCUGUAAUCCCAACACUCGGGGAGGCUGAGGCAGGAGGAUCACCUGAGCCCGGGAGGUUGAGGCUACAGGGAGCCAUGAUCGCACCACUGCACCCCAGCCUGGGUGACAGUGAGAUCCUGUCUCAAAAAUUUAAAAACCGGGCCAGGCGCAAUGGCUCAUGCCUAUAAUUUUAGUACUUUGGGAGGCCAAGGAGGGCGGAUCACUUGAGGUCAGGAGUUCCAGACCAGCCUGGCUAACAUGGUGAAACCCUGUCUGCAUUAAAAAUACAAGAGAUUAGUCCAGGCGCAGUGGCUUACGCCUGUAAUCCCAGCACUUUGGGAGACCGAGGCGGGUGGAUCACCUGAGGUCGGGAGUUCGAGACCAGCCUGACCAACAUAGAGAAACUCCGUCUCCGCUAAAAAUACAAAAUUAGCCGGGCAUGGUGGCACAUGCCUGUAAUCCCAGCUAUUCGGGAGGCUGAGGCAGGAGAACCACUUGAACCUGGGAGGCGGAGGUUGCAGUGAGCUGAGAUCGCACCAUUGCACUUCAGCCUGGGCAACAAGAGCAAAACUCCAUCUCAAAAAAAAAAAUAAAUAAAA
This 1505-nucleotide small RNA is filed under the name Pongo abelii (Sumatran orangutan). RNAcentral describes it as "retained intron". The record is from RNAcentral. Lineage: Eukaryota; Metazoa; Chordata; Mammalia; Primates; Hominidae.